CUCGCCUAGGCAUCUCAGAAGUACCCCUUCAAAAGAUCGCCGGUAGAGUGUCCCUUUGUAAUAGAGGAAGUGAUGUGCUCGUCAACGUACUUCAGAGUGGUGUUUCGGAUCAUCUGGAAGCAUUCCAUGCUCCAAGUAGUUGAUCAGAGGCUGUCUCCAUUCUUCAACGUUGACCGGAAGUAUUGAAAUAACGUUUGUAUCACUUAGUACUAUUUCAGUGACAAGUGGGAUUACCCAUCUUUGGCAGACUGGCACGUUUGUA
RNAcentral lists this long non-coding RNA (262 nucleotides) under Malus domestica (apple). RNAcentral's name for it is "long non-coding RNA (MDOM_LNC007780)". Lineage: Eukaryota; Viridiplantae; Streptophyta; Magnoliopsida; Rosales; Rosaceae. The record is from RNAcentral.